CUCAAUACGGGAGGCUGAGAUCCGCCGGAGGCGCAGCUACGGCCACCUGACCCGGCGGGGGAGCCACCGGUGAGACCGGCCCGCGAG
Molecule: non-coding RNA, 87 nt
Filed under: unclassified sequences
Description: c-di-GMP sequence
Rfam family: c-di-GMP-II-GAG riboswitch aptamer
Source: Rfam by way of RNAcentral